This is a long non-coding RNA of Aedes aegypti (yellow fever mosquito), 106 nucleotides long. RefSeq lists it as uncharacterized. Lineage: Eukaryota; Metazoa; Arthropoda; Insecta; Diptera; Culicidae. The transcript has 2 exons. The record is from RefSeq and is a predicted model, not a curated record.
AUAAUGAACUGGGAUGGAAAAAUUUCUGCUUCUAUUACUUCUUAAGGAUCUCAAUUUUGUGUGCAAAUAUCUAGGAUUUUUGGUAAGAAUUAACUUAUGAACUAUG